UACAGAGGGUGCAAGCGUUAAUCGGAAUUACUGGGCGUAAAGCGUGCGUAGACGGUUAUGUAAGUUAGGUGUGAAAGCCCCGGGCUCAACCUGGGAAUUGCAUUUAAGACUGCAUAGCUAGGGUGCGGAAGAGGGAAGCGGAGUUUCCGGUGUAGCGGUGAAAUGCGUAGAUAUCGGAAGGAACAUCAGUGGCGAAAGCGGCUUCCUGGUCCAGCACCGACGUUCAGGCACGAAAGCGUGGGGAGCAAACAGG
RNAcentral lists this ribosomal RNA (253 nucleotides) under uncultured bacterium. RNAcentral's name for it is "partial 16S ribosomal RNA". It matches the Rfam family "Bacterial small subunit ribosomal RNA", at positions 524 to 776 of the family's 1533-position model. The record is from RNAcentral.